GCCUAACACAUGCAAGUCGAACGCGAAAGGGGCUUCGGCCCUGAGUAGAGUGGCGAACGGGUGAGUAACACGUGGGUGAUCUACCUUCGAGUGGGGGAUAACGUCCCGAAAGGGACGCUAAUACCGUAUGACGUUCCGGGUUUAAAGACCUGGAAACCAAAGCCGGGGACCGCAAGGCCUGGCGCUGGAAGAGGAGCCCGCGUCCGAUUAGCUAGUUGGCGGGGUAAUGGCCCACCAAGGCGACGAUCGGUAGCCGGCCUGAGAGGGCGGACGGCCACACUGGAACUGAGACACGGUCCAGACUCCUACGGGAGGCAGCAGUGGGGAAUUGUUCACAAUGGGCGCAAGCCUGAUGACGCAACGCCGCGUGGGGGAUGAAGGUCUUCGGAUUGUAAACCCUUGUCGAGCGGGAAGAACGAUCCGCGUUCUAACACAACGCGGGACUGACGGUACCGCUAAAGGAAGCCACGGCUAACUCUGUGCCAGCAGCCGCGGUAAUACAGAGGUGGCAAGCGUUGUUCGGAAUUACUGGGCGUAAAGGGCGCGUAGGCGGCCAUCUAAGUCAGACGUGAAAUCCCCCGGCUUAACCUGGGAACUGCGUCUGAUACUGGAAGGCUCGAGUUUGGGAGAGGGAUGUGGAAUUCCAGGUGUAGCGGUGAAAUGCGUAGAUAUCUGGAGGAACACCGGUGGCGAAGGCGGCAUCCUGGACCAACACUGACGCUGAGGCGCGAAAGCUAGGGGAGCAAACGGGAUUAGAUACCCCGGUAGUCCUAGCCCUAAACGAUGAAUGCUUGGUGUGGCGGGUAUCGAUCCCUGCCGUGCCGAAGCUAACGCAUUAAGCAUUCCGCCUGGGGAGUAC
This 859-nucleotide ribosomal RNA is filed under the name uncultured bacterium. Its description in RNAcentral is "bacterial SSU rRNA". It matches the Rfam family "Bacterial small subunit ribosomal RNA", at positions 46 to 883 of the family's 1533-position model. The record is from RNAcentral.